GAGAGAGAGAGAGAGAGAGAGAGAGAGAAUAAAAGAGUCACUGGAAUUUGAUGUUUGAGAGACAUUUGGGCACCACAGUCAUGAAGAUCUUUGUGCAGUUAUGGGCAUAAUAUCAAUUACGACCAUCAGGAAAAGCAAACAACGUGUUUUGCAACACAUUACCAUCUUAACUUGAAAGCUUUACACUGUUAGACUGGGUAACAAUAGAUCCUCUUAUAACUCCUUAGAAGAUAUGUCAACAAAUCAUAAGAAUCAAAUCAAAAUAAAAGAUAUCUCAGCAAAUCCUUCAAGUACCCACCCAAGAACAGGAAACACACCCAUUUCUAUGAACAUAACAGACUGCGUAUAGAAACACAGUCACCCAACCAUAUCCCUUCUCUCAACAUACAACAAAUUGUGUGAUGCCACUUUAAAGGGGUCAUAUGAUACGAUUUCAAAUUUUCCUUUCUCUUCGGAGUGUUACAAGCUCUUGGUGCAUAAAGAAGAUCUGUAAAGUUGCAAAGUCUAAAGUCUCAAAUCCAAAGAGAUAUUCUUUAUAAAAGUUAACACUCAUGUUUAUGUCACUGUGUGGGAAGAUUUGCAUAACACCACCCAAAUGUUCACGCAAAGGAAUAAGGCGUAACUUUUAUUCUCGCUGUAGCAUUGUUGUUGCCGCCAUGUUGUGGAGAUGCUGUGUGUUUCAUUGUGAAAGCAAAACUACUUUGUUUUGGCUUCCAAAAGAGGACACAACUAGAAAUCAGUGGUUAAGUUGUAUUUACAACACUGUUCCAGAAUAGUUCAACCCAAAUAUUCAGAUGUGUGCAGCGCAUUUUAUAAGGACUGUUUCCUGAACCUGCAGAGUAGCCUACAAUGUGUCUGUGCUCGAAGGCUGUUUGUAUGAAGUUGGGCAGUUCCAAGUUUGCAAGGACAGUCUGGCGCUUCAGACUCACAGCCUGUAAAAUUUGCCAAUGAUGAUUUAAGGUUUUAAGCAGUGUAGAGUAAUGCUUGUUGUUUGUUGUUUCUCCGAACACAAAUGCAGACAUGGUUUUAUGUUUAUGCGGUGCGAUAGGCAACACAACACGUAAAAACUCAAUAUAAGUCAUUGUAAUCAGUAAUUAUGUCCCCAUUGGAUGCAACAAAUUUGUUAUGGGUUUUAUUGGUUUUGUCUCAUCGUGCCGGGAGACGGCAUCACAGUAUGGUAAGGGCAUAACAUUUCCGUCACACGCUUGAGGUAUUCAGCCAAUCACAAUGCACUGGAUAGCUGGCCAUUCAGCGUACACCUCGCUUUUCAGACCGAUGAGCUUUGUAAAAAACAAUGCAUUUUUGAACCUUAAACCACAUAAACACACUGCAUUACACCAACUACAACAUAAUGUUCUUUUUAGCAAUGUCAUAUGACCUCUUUAACUUCUCUUACGCAUUUGAUUGUUAGGCUAAUGGAGGCUGUCUGAUAUGCCUGUUUGGUUGGUUUUGGUCAUUAUAGAGAGGAAGGAAGAGAUAGUGAUGGCACUGUGUAUAGUCAUUACACUGAGCUAAACAAAGUGGCACUGAGAGCAGCAUGUCCCAGGACAAACUGACAUUAAUUUGACGCUUUGGAUGCUGACAAUCCAGCGGACGUAGUUAAAGCUGCAGUCCAUAACUUUUUUGGUUAAAAAUGAUCCUAAAUAAAUUUUUUAGCAAGUACAUAACCAGCCAGUAUUCAAACCUAUCACCUUACUUUAGCGCAAUUCACAACGGAAAGCUUGUAAUAAAGUUUUCUAGUUUGAGUGUUACAGGUAGG
Molecule: long non-coding RNA, 1759 nt
Organism: Cyprinus carpio carpio
Lineage: Eukaryota; Metazoa; Chordata; Actinopteri; Cypriniformes; Cyprinidae
Source: Ensembl